GUCCAGCAGCCGCGGUAAUACCGGCAGCACAAGUGAUGGCCAAUCUUAUUGGGCCUAAAGCGUCCGUAGCUGGCUGCGCAAGUCCGUCGGGAAAUCCACUCGCCCAACGAGUGGGCGUCCGACGGAAACUGCAUAGCUUGGGACCGGAAGGCUCGAAGGGUACGUGCGGGGUAGGAGUGAAAUCCCAUAAUCCCGCACGGACCACCGAUGGCGAAAGCACUUCGAGAAAACGGAUCCGACAGUGAGGGACGAAAGCUGGGAUCUCGAACCGGAUUAGAUACCCGGGUAGUCC
RNAcentral lists this ribosomal RNA (292 nucleotides) under uncultured bacterium. Its description in RNAcentral is "partial 16S ribosomal RNA". It matches the Rfam family "Archaeal small subunit ribosomal RNA", at positions 456 to 747 of the family's 1478-position model. The record is from RNAcentral.